UAUCUUUCCCACUGUUCUGAUGAUUUAUGCGCUGCUCUAAAUAUCUAAACUUCUGGGUGAAAAAAAAACUAGAUGAAAAAAUAUAUAGCAGUGUGGUUAGCCGCUAUCGCGGAGCUUAGCCUUUAUUCCACGCCCUUAUCAUGGAAGCUAAGUGGUGUGGCACUCUACUAUCAUGGAGGUAUACUGUCUUGGGGUUCCAAAUAACCCUGAACCCUUUUGAAAAUUCCAAAACUUUUCUAAAAUGCCCUUUCAACAUACCUAAUCAUAAUUUAAGUCAAAAAUCAACAUUACGCACACGGGAUGGUUAAAAAUAAAAUGAUCAAAAUUUUAUGGGGUCUCAAGUAUGUAUGUAUUUAUGUACGUAUAUGUAUGUAUAUAUUUAUUCUCAUUAACGCUUGAUACAUAUACAAUGCACAUACCCUAAAUUAGUUACUAGAUAUAGAUGUAUAACUUUAUUUUUCUCUUCUCCUUUGCCUUCCCAUGUUUUCUCUUAUUUACCUAUUUUUUUUAUCUUUGUUAGGCUGAUGUCUACUUCUGAAAAGUCAAGGUAUUUUAUAUUCAAGAGUCCCCUAACCGAUGGUCACUUUGUCUUAAAGAAGAAAAUUAUGUUUUUAUUGAUUUUAUUAUUUAUUAUUGGUAUUUAAGAUUUUAUUGAUGGAGAGGAAUUGACAAAGCUUGUACCAAGAGACCCCGUUCUUUCAAAAUAGUUGAUGAAGAAAUAACAUGGUUUUCAUUUUAUUUUGUAUAUAAUAUUGGUGGAUACAUUGCUUAUAUAUCAUAUAUAUUGUUG
This 790-nucleotide long non-coding RNA is filed under the name Capsicum annuum. RNAcentral's name for it is "long non-coding RNA (CANN_LNC007068)". Lineage: Eukaryota; Viridiplantae; Streptophyta; Magnoliopsida; Solanales; Solanaceae. The record is from RNAcentral.